This 76-nucleotide transfer RNA is filed under the name Chthoniobacterales bacterium. RNAcentral's name for it is "tRNA-Glu". It matches the Rfam family "tRNA". Rfam says of the family: Transfer RNA (tRNA) molecules are approximately 80 nucleotides in length. Their secondary structure includes four short double-helical elements and three loops (D, anti-codon, and T loops). Lineage: Bacteria; Pseudomonadati; Verrucomicrobiota; Spartobacteria; Chthoniobacterales. The record is from RNAcentral.
GACCCUAUCGUCCAGAGGCCUAGGACACCGCCCUUUCACGGCGGUAACACGGGUUCGAAUCCCGUUGGGGUCGCCA